CACACACCGAAAGUUGUCAAUUGGAGGACGUUGACGAGGGAAAUUCCAAUCCCUGGACAGAGUUCCAUUUAAAUUUGAAAUAGGCAACAUAGUCAUCAUGAAAUGCUGUAUUUUUAUUCCAAAAGACCCAACCAUCUACGCUUUCAAAAACUCAUUAUGAUAGCUCCGCAAGCACAUAGAGGUGUACUCGCCAGCAUCUCCCUUCUCUACAGCACCCAACACCACUCGACGAGUCCUGUCAUGUGUUUCCAUGUGGACUGUCUCGCUGGAUGUCAGAGGAGUACUGUCCCUCAUCACUUUUCUUGGCGUUCUUGAUGAUCAGUGACCUCUGUGUCCCUUUGGAGACAAUGGUGGUUCUUUGGUCCGCAUAGACCACUGUCUGAUCCUUCUUCCACACAACCACCCCACUGGCAGAGGACACCUCACAGUUCAACACAAGAUCUCCGCUUUGGGCAGAUGCAACCCCCAUGAGACCCUUGGGCUUGUUCAGGAACCUAACUUCAUCUGGGAGACAAAGAGUAACGAACAUUGUCCACUUUGUAUUUACACAGUUGUGGUACAAAUGUAUUGAUACCAUAAGGUUGUAAUUAAAAUGUAACAUUUACAUUUAAAAUGUAAAUUCAGUUAAAUUUGCCAACCAAAUAAAAAUU
This is a long non-coding RNA of Esox lucius (northern pike), 650 nucleotides long. The record is from Ensembl. NCBI's taxonomy places the organism in Eukaryota, Metazoa, Chordata, Actinopteri, Esociformes, Esocidae.